GCAGUCGAACGAGUCCUGAUUAUUGAAAGGUGCUUGCAUCUUGAUUUAAUUUUGAACGAGUGGCGGACGGGUGAGUAACACGUGGGUAACCUGCCCUUAAGUGGGGGAUAACAUUUGGAAACAGAUGCUAAUACCGCAUAAAUCCAAGAACCGCAUGGUUCUUGGCUGAAAGAUGGCGUAAGCUAUCGCUUUUGGAUGGACCCGCGGCGUAUUAGCUAGUUGGUGAGGUAACGGCUCACCAAGGCAAUGAUACGUAGCCGAACUGAGAGGUUGAUCGGCCACAUUGGGACUGAGACACGGCCCAAACUCCUACGGGAGGCAGCAGUAGGGAAUCUUCCACAAUGGACGCAAGUCUGAUGGAGCAACGCCGCGUGAGUGAAGAAGGCUUUCGGGUCGUAAAACUCUGUUGUUGGAGAAGAAUGGUCGGCAGAGUAACUGUUGUCGGCGUGACGGUAUCCAACCAGAAAGCCACGGCUAACUACGUGCCAGCAGCCGCGGUAAUACGUAGGUGGCAAGCGUUAUCCGGAUUUAUUGGGCGUAAAGCGAGCGCAGGCGGUUUUUUAAGUCUGAUGUGAAAGCCCUCGGCUUAACCGAGGAAGUGCAUCGGAAACUGGGAAACUUGAGUGCAGAAGAGGACAGUGGAACUCCAUGUGUAGCGGUGAAAUGCGUAGAUAUAUGGAAGAACACCAGUGGCGAAGGCGGCUGUCUGGUCUGUAACUGACGCUGAGGCUCGAAA
RNAcentral lists this ribosomal RNA (736 nucleotides) under Lacticaseibacillus rhamnosus. RNAcentral's name for it is "bacterial SSU rRNA". It matches the Rfam family "Bacterial small subunit ribosomal RNA", at positions 57 to 758 of the family's 1533-position model. The record is from RNAcentral. Lineage: Bacteria; Bacillati; Bacillota; Bacilli; Lactobacillales; Lactobacillaceae.